AUCUCAUUCUCUCUCUGGGAACUUGUCUAGACCAGUAGCUUUUGCUUAUUUACCUUUUGUCAGACAGUGAAUCCUUCAGCCAGAAUGUUAAUAGAAAGUCUCUACAUCUGCAUCCUUCGGGAGGAGCUCCUGGAGCCUUGCAGACGGCCCCUCACUUGGAAGGAAUGCGAUGGAUCAUUGCAGAGAAAAGGAGCCCAAAUAUUCUGACGGCUCAGACAUCAAAGGGGCUCCACUUGUGAUCCCAGCUGGGGACAGCGGGACUCCUGACAGGAACGUAACUGGAAUACAACACUUCCUGGAGAGUCAGACCUUGUCCCAGUAAGAGCCAGAGAUGAAGGAUGCCUCCUCCAAGGCCAAAGGCCACUGACUGCCCUGGGCCUUCAAGACUGGAUUCCUGCAGCAAGACGGAAGUGAAGGCUUGCGGUAU
This 427-nucleotide long non-coding RNA is filed under the name Cricetulus griseus (Chinese hamster). RNAcentral describes it as "lncRNA (ENSCGRG00000024997.1)". Lineage: Eukaryota; Metazoa; Chordata; Mammalia; Rodentia; Cricetidae. The record is from RNAcentral.